GACGAACGCUGGCGGCGUGCUUAACACAUGCAAGUCGAACGGAAAGGCCCUGCUUUUGUGGGGUGCUCGAGUGGCGAACGGGUGAGUAACACGUGAGUAACCUGCCCUUGACUUUGGGAUAACUUCAGGAAACUGGGGCUAAUACCGGAUAGGAGCUCCUGCUGCAUGGUGGGGGUUGGAAAGUUUCGGCGGUUGGGGAUGGACUCGCGGCUUAUCAGCUUGUUGGUGGGGUAGUGGCUUACCAAGGCUUUGACGGGUAGCCGGCCUGAGAGGGUGACCGGCCACAUUGGGACUGAGAUACGGCCCAGACUCCUACGGGAGGCAGCAGUGGGGAAUAUUGCACAAUGGGCGGAAGCCUGAUGCAGCAACGCCGCGUGCGGGAUGACGGCCUUCGGGUUGUAAACCGCUUUCGCCUGUGACGAAGCGUGAGUGACGGUAAUGGGUAAAGAAGCACCGGCUAACUACGUGCCAGCAGCCGCGGUGAUACGUAGGGUGCGAGCGUUGUCCGGAUUUAUUGGGCGUAAAGGGCUCGUAGGUGGUUGAUCGCGUCGGAAGUGUAAUCUUGGGGCUUAACCCUGAGCGUGCUUUCGAUACGGGUUGACUUGAGGAAGGUAGGGGAGAAUGGAAUUCCUGGUGGAGCGGUGGAAUGCGCAGAUAUCAGGAGGAACACCAGUGGCGAAGGCGGUUCUCUGGGCCUUUCCUGACGCUGAGGAGCGAAAGCGUGGGGAGCGAACAGGCUUAGAUACCCUGGUAGUCCACGCUGUAAACGGUGGGUACUAGGUGUGGGGUCCAUUCCACGGGUUCCGUGCCGUAGCUAACGCUUUAAGUACCCCGCCUGGGGAGUACGGCCGCAAGGCUAAAACUCAAAGGAAUUGACGGGGCCCCGCACAAGCGGCGGAGCAUGCGGAUUAAUUCGAUGCAACGCGUAGAACCUUACCUGGGUUUGACAUGGAUCGGGAGUGCUCAGAGAUGGGUGUGCCUCUUUUGGGGUCGGUUCACAGGUGGUGCAUGGCUGUCGUCAGCUCGUGUCGUGAGAUGUUGGGUUAAGUCCCGCAACGAGCGCAACCCUUGUUCACUGUUGCCAGCACGUUAUGGUGGGGACUCAGUGGAGACCGCCGGGGUCAACUCGGAGGAAGGUGGGGAUGACGUCAAGUCAUCAUGCCCCUUAUGUCCAGGGCUUCACGCAUGCUACAAUGGCUGGUACAAAGAGUGGCGAGCCUGUGAGGGUGAGCGAAUCUCGGAAAGCCGGUCUCAGUUCGGAUUGGGGUCUGCAACUCGACCUCAUGAAGACGGAGUCGCUAGUAAUCGCAGAUCAGCAACGCUGCGGUGAAUACGUUCCCGGGGCU
This 1346-nucleotide ribosomal RNA is filed under the name uncultured bacterium. RNAcentral describes it as "partial 16S ribosomal RNA". It matches the Rfam family "Bacterial small subunit ribosomal RNA", at positions 28 to 1381 of the family's 1533-position model. The record is from RNAcentral.